RNAcentral lists this long non-coding RNA (2060 nucleotides) under Equus caballus (horse). RNAcentral's name for it is "lncRNA (ENSECAG00000049100.1)". Lineage: Eukaryota; Metazoa; Chordata; Mammalia; Perissodactyla; Equidae. The record is from RNAcentral.
CACAAAAACAGAACACAUUGGCAAGAAAGCUCUACUGGAAUCUUUAUAAUCAAUAAAUCUGUUGUUUGCUGAAGGAUUAUAUCCCAAAAUUUGCAUGUUAAGCAGGACAUACUUGGGGAUGAAUGAAUCCUUACCAGGAAGCAUAUAAGAACUCUCUGACUGAAGCAAGGAUUGUUUGAUCUUUUCCCAAGAGCAUAUGUUUACAAUGAAGAAAGGAGGAGAGCACGCUCGAUACUCCAGGCUGAUGCACCUAUUUCUGGAGCCCAGAAUUCUGAAAUGAGGAUCACUGGACUGAACUGAAGAAUGGAGAGGAAUGGUGUGGCUCACAGCCAAGAAGAGGAGCGAAGGAAUAAGCUGUUGGAGGGCACGAUGAAAGUGAAGAUGGAAGAAGAGAAGACGUGAAAUGAAAGGAGAGGAGUCGGUGGUUUAAUAAUGAUAAAAUAAUUUUUAAAAAAAUGAUUGCUAACAUUUAAUGAUUGCUCAUCUUGGGCCAGAACUGAUACCUGUGUUACCAUGUUGAAUUCUCACAAUAACAUCAUCAAUUGUAUUAUUAUCUUCACUUUAUACAUGAGAAAACCAAAAGUUAGAUAACUUAAGUAACUUGAAGAGGAUUUUAAUCCUCUUGGUAACGGAAGAGAAGAGAUUCAGGGACGGGCUGUUGAGCAGCAAAGCCCAUGACCUACUCCAAUGAGCACACUGACUUUGAGAAGGGCUGAGGCGCCCUUUUGUAACACGUGUUUACACGGUUUAAUUUACAUCUCUGAAUCACUCCAAUUCUUUGAGAUCUAUUAGUAAAAACAGAUACAUAUUUGCUUGUAUGUAAUUCUUAUUAAAUCCAAGUAUACUACUUUAUUCAUUUCAAGUCAUACGAAAGCUUGCUGGGGAAAGUACACACCUGUUAAUUGUUACUAACACCCUCAGACAUAUUUUAUUGGUCAGGCGAUAGUGCUGUAGAAGAAUUUUAGUUCUUGCAGCUGCACAAAGCUGCACAUUUUGAAUGCCUGAAAUUUGACCUAAAUGGUAUUGACAUUACAGUGACUGUGAGUGAUGGAAAAGGAAACAAAAAAUCUUGGAUUUUUUUCCUCUACAGAGACCUCUUCUCCUCCAAUUAAUAACAACAACAGACUUAGAAAAUAUCUCUUAAACUACAGACCGCAGCCAGCAGUGCAGCUGCGUAGUUCCAAGAGGCCCACAGAGAUUCCUGCCUUUCAGGCUAAAUCCUUCCACUCAUAAAAAUCCUCUUUUUGUUUUGUUAAAGUGUUCUCUAUGCUUGUUUUCUUAUUUUAUUUUAUUUCAUUUCAUUAAGUUUAAGUAUCAGUGGAAAAUAUCUCCAGUACUUGACAUGGAUAACUUUCAGAAUCUACGUUUCUUGCACCGUGAUUUAAAAGAAACAGAAAGCGGAAAACAUAAUUGAAUCCAGUAAAUGUAUAUUGACAAGUACGUUAAUGAGUAAAGUCGAAGUUCCUAGGGAGAUUCCAAGGUAAUUGAAGCAUGGUCUCUGUCCUCAGAAGUGAUAUGGUUUAAAAUACACGGACAAAGAGAACAGAUUAGUAGUUUCCAGAGGGAAAGAGGGUUGGGCAAAAGAGCUAAAGGGGCACAUAUGUAUGGUGAUGGAUAAAAAUUAGACUAAUGGGGCUGAGCACAAUGAAGUGUCUUCAGAAAUUGAUAAACAAUAAUGUACACCGAAAUUACACAAUGUUAUAAACCAUUAUAAUCCCAAUAAAAUUACUUGGAAAAAAACCUGAAGUAAUAUGGUUUAGAGAGACAGAUAGGCAUAGAGAGCAAUGAUUAUAAAGUGAAUCAAGAGGUUACUUUAUUUUGAAAGGUUUUUGAAAAAUGUUUUGGUAAUACAGAUGGAGAUAUUACACACGGCUAGUGGAUCGGAACAGUGAUGGAGGCGGCAAGGCUAAGUAAGAUUGUGAUAGAUGGAUAUGAGAAUAAAAAACAAUCCAGGUAGAUUGUGUCUCAGUGUCACAGGCAGCAAGGCAAGAAAGUGAAUUUUCACCAAGUAAUAGGGACUGCUCUGGGUAGUAGCCCAAACUGUAUGCAGAAAAAUGCGA